AGUGGCGCACGGGUGCGUAACGCGUAUGCAACCUACCUUAUACUAAGGGAUAGCCCGGGGAAACCCGGAUUAAUACCUUAUGGUAUUAUUUGAUGGCAUCAUUGAAUAAUUAAAGAUUUAUUGGUAUAAGAUGGGCAUGCGUAGGAUUAGCUAGUUGGUAAGGUAACGGCUUACCAAGGCGACGAUCCUUAGGGGUUCUGAGAGGAAGGUCCCCCACACUGGUACUGAGAUACGGACCAGACUCCUACGGGAGGCAGCAGUAGGGAAUAUUGGGCAAUGGACGGAAGUCUGACCCAGCCAUGCCGCGUGCAGGAAGAAGGCGUUAUGCGUUGUAAACUGCUUUUAUACGGGAAGAAAAGGCCCAUGCGUGGGACAUUGCCGGUACCGUAUGAAUAAGCACCGGCUAACUCCGUGCCAGCAGCCGCGGUAAUACGGAGGGUGCAAGCGUUGUCCGGAUUUAUUGGGUUUAAAGGGUGCGUAGGCGGCGAUUUAAGUCAGUGGUGAAAGUUUUGGGCUCAACUCAGAAAUUGCCAUUGAUACUG
This 542-nucleotide ribosomal RNA is filed under the name bacterium EP2.02. Its description in RNAcentral is "bacterial SSU rRNA". It matches the Rfam family "Bacterial small subunit ribosomal RNA", at positions 94 to 635 of the family's 1533-position model. The record is from RNAcentral. RNAcentral also lists the same sequence under 2 other names.